GCUUAUUUUCCUGUUACUUGGCCAACCAAGUGUGAGUGAACAGGAGCCCGAGAGCUUAAAUGCGGGAUCUAGAUAAGGUGUCGACGGGUUGUGGGCGCUUGUCUCCAUGUUAGGGAGAGGCAACUGAGAACGGUGACUUUGGCUUGUUUUGAGAGAGCUUGGGUUUUGACAGCAGGACGGCGAAGGGAGCGCUUGGAGAGGCUGGAAGCUCGACGUCUUAGGGAGCUGCCUACGGGCACUGGGUUGACGCCAAGGGGUUGUCGGCAAGGGCAGGGCUCUUGCCCUCUGCUGUACCCAGACUCUGCAAUUGGGGGCUGCAAGCCUUCUGCGGCUCUUUGGUUUCAAGGACACAGCGAGCUGCUCAGGACUUUGGGAGCCAACAUCUGUCUGACUGGUGACGUCAGCAGCCCGUGUAAUCCUCUUGUGCUGAAGGCAGAUGCCUUAUUUGUUUGGCUGGAGCGAGCCAUUAAUCCCUAAUUCUGGAUCAGCAAGCGAGGGGGAAAGACCGGACUGCUCCGACCCACCCCCUCCCUACCCCCACCUCCCACCUUAAAGCACCUUAUACCACGGAAGCCUCUCAGCCUCUUCUUUCCUCUGCGAACGCGCUGAGCAGCGAUUGAAAACGUUUUGGUCCUCUCCAGGUUUGAGCAGGGCUAGCAGGGGCGCAUUCUGGGGUCUCUGCGCAAGACCAGCUCUCAGCUCUCUCUCCUUUCCUCGGACUCUGGAGCGGGAGCGGGCCUUUCCCUCGGGCCGACCACGCCGUAGGGGACGCCAUGAAAAGAGCCGUCGCGCCCGCUGCCUCCUGCCCGCUGCGCAGAGGGCUCCGCCCGUAGAGGUCAACUUCCCUCACCCUUUCCUCUCUCCUGCUCGCCCUCCCUCCGCUCGGCCCAGGCGCUUCCAGCCGCAGACUCUGGCCACAGGCUGAGGAGUGCGAGUCGGCUGCGCUGCCCUGAGCCGAAUCGCCCUUCCGGGCCCAGACCCGAGUUCCGCGCUCCCGGGCAGUGGGAAAGCUUUAGUGAGCAGCCUUUUCUCUCCGCAGCAAACUCGUAGCCAGACCAGAUGGGCCGCCCAGCUCUCUCGGGACUAGGCAGUUUGAUGCCCAUUACAAAUUUUCCUGCUAUGAAAGAAAUUCUAUGUGCGGCAGUUUUGCAAUAAAACAACCCAGGCUUCGCAAUUGGAGAACUUCGGUGCGGCGUGCCGUGGGAGUCCUUUGACAAUCUCAACUUUCAUCUAGGUCUGAAAUUAAAGCUUCUCGGAAUAAUUUAGGAACAGCUUGACCCGUUGAGACACUCAAGGACAACCCUCCAGGGAAAUAGUUUAUUUCCUUCCUGGGAACAAGAUGCUAGCGCGGUGCACCGGGAGGUAUCCGGUGUCAACAAUGCCAGAACGCCCUCUGCUGCCUCAAAGAGGUAGGACAUCAGUUACAAAAGCCAGAUGGCACAGUGGCAAUAAGCGGAGGAAACAUUAAGCUCUUAGAAACGUUUAUCUGUGAAAUGUAAAAGCGCUCAUCACAUUCUACUUUUGAAAGGGCCACCUGAUUUUGAUUUUGAGCACUCCUUGGAUGAUAUCUUCUAUUCUGGAGGAUAAUGAAAAAUCCGUGUUUUGAAAUUUUCAGAUUAUUUCUGUAGUUAUAUUUCUCCACCCUUUCUCGAAUUUUAUAUGGAAAUACGAAGUUGCAAGUCGAAGUGAAAAACCUUUGUGUAAACAGGUGAGUGGAGAAGACGACCUGACUUCUCUAGAUAACUAAGAUCUAAUAAAGAGAGAAAUCUUAAUUAAAAUAAAGAUACCGAGCACAUGUUGUUGCAUUAGUUUAAAAAGAUAAUAAUAAAAAGAAAUUAAGUCUCGAUGUAAA
Molecule: long non-coding RNA, 1852 nt
Organism: Macaca mulatta (Rhesus monkey)
Lineage: Eukaryota; Metazoa; Chordata; Mammalia; Primates; Cercopithecidae
Source: Ensembl